CGUGUAGGCGGUCAGGUAAGUGGAAUGUGAAAUGCCCCGGCUCACCCGGGGACCGGCAUCCCAAACUGCCUGGCUUGAGUAUGGGAGGGGAUGGAGGAAUUCCUGGUGUAGCGGUGAAAUGCGUAGAUAUCAGGAGGAACACCGGUGGCGAAGGCGUCCAUCUGGCCCAAUACUGACGCUGAGGCGCGAAAAGCUAGGGGGAGCAAAACG
RNAcentral lists this ribosomal RNA (210 nucleotides) under uncultured Latescibacterota bacterium. Its description in RNAcentral is "uncultured Latescibacteria bacterium partial 16S ribosomal RNA". It matches the Rfam family "Bacterial small subunit ribosomal RNA", at positions 568 to 775 of the family's 1533-position model. Lineage: Bacteria; Pseudomonadati; Candidatus Latescibacterota. The record is from RNAcentral.